Small nuclear RNA from Arachis stenosperma, 128 nucleotides. Lineage: Eukaryota; Viridiplantae; Streptophyta; Magnoliopsida; Fabales; Fabaceae. The record is from RefSeq and is a predicted model, not a curated record.
GUGUUCGUGAAAAGGAGAGAUGGUUGGCAUCUCCCCUGACAGGGACGGGAACAGCCUUCGGGCUUUCCUGUUAUACACACUCGGUUAAGGCUUACCAUCUGUAUAGAUGGAUCUUACCCAAUUUUUUU